GAUUGAACGCUGGCGGCAGGCCUAACACAUGCAAGUCGAGCGGAUGAAAGGAGCUUGCUCCUGGAUUCAGCGGCGGACGGGUGAGUAAUGCCUAGGAAUCUGCCUGGUAGUGGGGGACAACGUUUCGAAAGGAACGCUAAUACCGCAUACGUCCUACGGGAGAAAGCAGGGGACCUUCGGGCCUUGCGCUAUCAGAUGAGCCUAGGUCGGAUUAGCUAGUUGGUGAGGUAAUGGCUCACCAAGGCGACGAUCCGUAACUGGUCUGAGAGGAUGAUCAGUCACACUGGAACUGAGACACGGUCCAGACUCCUACGGGAGGCAGCAGUGGGGAAUAUUGGACAAUGGGCGAAAGCCUGAUCCAGCCAUGCCGCGUGUGUGAAGAAGGUCUUCGGAUUGUAAAGCACUUUAAGUUGGGAGGAAGGGUUGUAGAUUAAUACUNUGCAAUUUUGACGUUACCGACAGAAUAAGCACCGGCUAACUYUGUGCCAGCAGCCGCGGUAAUACAGAGGGUGCAAGCGUUAAUCGGAAUUACUGGGCGUAAAGCGCGCGUAGGUGGUUUGUUAAGUUGGAUGUGAAAUCCCCGGGCUCAACCUGGGAACUGCAUCCAAAACUGGCAAGCUAGAGUAUGGUAGAGGGUGGUGGAAUUUCCUGUGUAGCGGUGAAAUGCGUAGAUAUAGGAAGGAACACCAGUGGCGAAGGCGACCACCUGGACUGAUACUG
Molecule: ribosomal RNA, 720 nt
Filed under: Pseudomonas sp. SMCC G984
Lineage: Bacteria; Pseudomonadati; Pseudomonadota; Gammaproteobacteria; Pseudomonadales; Pseudomonadaceae
Description: bacterial SSU rRNA
Rfam family: Bacterial small subunit ribosomal RNA
Source: RNAcentral